UGAGGAAUAUUGGUCAAUGGACGCAAGUCUGAACCAGCCAAGUAGCGUGCAGGAUGACGGCCCUAUGGGUUGUAAACUGCUUUUAUAUGGGGAUAAAGUGGGGAACGUGUUCCCUUUUGCAGGUACCAUAUGAAAAAGCCCCGGCUAACUACGUGCCAGCAGCCGCGGUAAUACGUAGGGGGCUAGCGUUGUCCGGAAUCACUGGGCGUAAAGGGUUCGCAGGCGGCAAUGCAAGUCAGAUGUAAAAGGCAAAGGCUCAACCUUUGUAAGCAUCUGAAACUGUAUAGCUUGAGAAGUGUAGAGGCAAGUGGAAUUUUUAGUGUAGCGGUGAAAUGCGUAGAUAUUAAAAAGAAUACCGGUGGCGAAGGCGACUUGCUGGGCACAAUCUGACGCUGAGGAACGAAAGCGUGGGGAGCAAACAGG
This 423-nucleotide ribosomal RNA is filed under the name Verrucomicrobiota bacterium. Its description in RNAcentral is "Verrucomicrobia bacterium partial 16S ribosomal RNA". It matches the Rfam family "Bacterial small subunit ribosomal RNA", at positions 355 to 776 of the family's 1533-position model. Lineage: Bacteria; Pseudomonadati; Verrucomicrobiota. The record is from RNAcentral.